AAAACUGGUUUGGAACAAGCUAUUGCUGCUAACUAUGGCUUAGGUAGUUCAAUUCUAUCUUGGUUUUU
This 68-nucleotide transfer RNA is filed under the name Chaetopleura apiculata. Its description in RNAcentral is "tRNA-Ser". The record is from RNAcentral. Lineage: Eukaryota; Metazoa; Mollusca; Polyplacophora; Chitonida; Chaetopleuridae.